CAUGGAGUUUGAUCCUGGCUCAGAUUGAACGCUGGCGGAAUGCUUUACACAUGCAAGUCGAACGGUAGAGGGGGCAACCCCUCGAGAGUGGCGAACGGGUGAGUAAUAUAUCGGAACGUGCCCAGUCGUGGGGAAUAACGUAGCGAAAGUUACGCUAAUACCGCAUACGAUCUAAGGAUGAAAGCGGGGGAUCGCAAGACCUCGCGCGACUGGAGCGGCCGAUAUCAGAUUAGGUAGUUGGUGAGGUAAAGGCUCACCAAGCCAACGAUCUGUAGCUGGUCUGAGAGGACGACCAGCCACACUGGAACUGAGACACGGUCCAGACUCGUACGGGGAGCAGCAGUGGGGAAUAUUGGACAAUGGGCGCAAGCCUGAUCCCAGCCCAUGCCGCGUGAGUGA
This 399-nucleotide ribosomal RNA is filed under the name uncultured Limnohabitans sp. RNAcentral describes it as "bacterial SSU rRNA". It matches the Rfam family "Bacterial small subunit ribosomal RNA", at positions 1 to 408 of the family's 1533-position model. The record is from RNAcentral. Lineage: Bacteria; Pseudomonadati; Pseudomonadota; Betaproteobacteria; Burkholderiales; Comamonadaceae.